This is a long non-coding RNA of Suricata suricatta (meerkat), 436 nucleotides long. RefSeq lists it as uncharacterized. The transcript is spliced from 2 exons. The record is from RefSeq and is a predicted model, not a curated record. Lineage: Eukaryota; Metazoa; Chordata; Mammalia; Carnivora; Herpestidae.
UCGAAGGGCCAUCCACUCCCCUUCCUGCCAAACACUGGCAGCCGCUCAUGAUCUGCUCCUACCAUAAUUGCAGGAAGUUGUCAACAUGAAAAUUCCAACAGCCAACCGGAAAAUCGAAGUGGAAAAAUGGACCACGCCCUGCGGUUGUCUACAUCUCCAAAAUGUGGAAAACCUCCGUCCUUGCCCACCUUGUUGCUGACUGUUUUCAACCCAGCUAAGACCUCCGCUCGUAUUUCUGGAAGAACAAAGAUACGGGGAGGCCGUAUGUGUCAAGUGCGAGUCGAGAGGGGUGGGAGGGAACAAAAGCAGACAGCCCGGCCGCGGAGACAUUCCUGGGAAUGCGCACUUUGGCUCAUUUCCAAGGUCAGGGAUGUUCAGCCCAACCAGAUUAACCCCCUGAUCCUCGUGGUUCAAUAAAAGCACUUCUGUCAUCCUC